Molecule: ribosomal RNA, 346 nt
Filed under: Tonerus wheeleri
Lineage: Eukaryota; Metazoa; Arthropoda; Insecta; Coleoptera; Noteridae
Description: partial 12S ribosomal RNA
Source: RNAcentral
UAUUAAUGUAAAUUUAUUACCAGAUUAGUAUUAGUUAUGUUCUUCAAAUUUAAAAAAUUUGGCGGUGUUUUAGUCUUUUCAGAGGAACCUGUUUUAUAAUUGAUAAUCCACAAUUAUUUGUACUUUUGUUUUAAGUUUGUAUAUCGUCGUUAAAAUAAUUUUUUAAGAAUUAAUAAUUUUUUUAAUUUUUUAUUAAAUAAUAAAUCAGAUCAAGGUGCAGCAAAUAUAAAAGUAAAAAUGGGUUACAAUAAAUUUAUUUAAAUGGAUAAUUAAUUUAAAAUUUGUUUGAAGGUGGAUUUGAAAGUAAUUAAUUUUAUAUAAUUUUAAUGAUUUUAGCUCUAAAAUA